This 350-nucleotide unclassified non-coding RNA is filed under the name soil metagenome. RNAcentral describes it as "partial contains 5.8S ribosomal RNA, internal transcribed spacer 2, and large subunit ribosomal RNA". The stretch from base 1 to 119 matches the Rfam family "5.8S ribosomal RNA", at positions 35 to 154 of the family's 154-position model. The record is from RNAcentral.
GAUGAAGAACGUAGCGAAAUGCGAUAAGUAAUGCGAAUUGCAGAAUCCGUGAGUCAUCGAAUCUUUGUACGCACAUUGCGCCCUCUGGUAUUCCGGAGGGCAUGCCUGUUCGAGCGUCAUUAUCACCCCCCAAGCCCGGCUUGUUGUUGGAUGCAGCGCUUAUCCCGCUCCUCCCAAAGAUAAUGACGGCGUCUGCGACGACUCCUGUACACUGAGCUUUCGGGCACGUACACGGCUAGAAGUCCAGACCCGGUCGCCGUCCCCCCCCGCGGGGACACCCAUUACCACAAGGUUGACCUCGGAUCAGGUAGGAAUACCCGCUGAACUUAAGCAUAUCAAUAAGCGGAGGA